Molecule: long non-coding RNA, 390 nt
Organism: Zootermopsis nevadensis
Lineage: Eukaryota; Metazoa; Arthropoda; Insecta; Blattodea; Termopsidae
Source: RefSeq, a predicted model, not a curated record
GAUUUGUUUCAAGCUCAGCGUUGUGGAAACCACAACUCACUUUCUGCAUCGAAACGCGUCUGUGGUGACAAGGGAGAUCAUUCCAGUGUGUUAUCAGCAGGUUGAUGUAGCUCGCUGGUCAAAACCAUCAACAAGGACCUUGCAGCGCGGUCCAGAAAUCUUCCCAACGGUACGUGUUCCAACAUAACAUAGGCUUACGGACUUCAAGAUACGCAGUGAAACAGCGGUGGAUGAAGAACAUUGCUUCUGCAGGAACAAAGAUACAGUAAUGAACUGGCAACUGUUCUUACAGUAUUUUGUUUUCUACGUGAUAUCACAAAAGAUCUCUGCCGUCGUAACUUUGCUAUUAAAUAAUGACUGGCAAAACUGACAUUUAGUCGCCUUUGCGCC